This 2809-nucleotide long non-coding RNA is filed under the name Sus scrofa (pig). RNAcentral describes it as "lncRNA (ENSSSCG00050051733.1)". The record is from RNAcentral. Lineage: Eukaryota; Metazoa; Chordata; Mammalia; Artiodactyla; Suidae.
GUCUUUUUAGGACCACACCUGAGGCAUAUGGAGGGUCCCAGGCUAGGGGUCAAAACGGAGCUUAGCUACCAGCCACAGCCACAGCCAUAGCAACGUGGCUUCUGAGCCGCAUCUGUGACCUACACCACAGCUCACAGCAAUGCCAGAUCCUUAACCCACUGAGUGAGGCCGGGGAUCGAACCCACAACCUCAUGGAUACUAGUCAGGUUCAUUAACCACUGAGCCACGACGGCAGGGAGGGAGGGGACCUGGGCCAGCCUCCACUUUCCCCUGGCCUCCUGCCCCUCCCCCAGCAAGCCUCCGAAACAAUUCACAUUCCCCCCUCUAAGGUUUCAGCUGUUCUAGGACUCAAUUCAUUCCCUGCUCUAUUUUUCUUCUUCUUUUGCAAUCUCCAAGAAACCCGAACUGCCAGAUGGGUGGGGGCAAUGAUUGUUUUCUGUCUCACAUCUGGAUUUCAUUAGCAGCCCAGGGCAUGCUGACUCAGGAAUGGCAGCUCCCCUGGGCUCAGGCCCUCCCCGGACCCCUCACAGUGCCCGGUCCUUAGCUGGACAGGGGAGGCACACCCCUCAGACCUCCCUCGAAGGAGUAACCAGCCCCAGAAUAUCUUGGGAGUGGUGAGGCUAGGGCUUCAAGAAUUCCUGCUCUCAGCUCAGUGCCUGCCGGGUGGCUGCCAGCUGGGAUUGGCUGGGCCUGACCAUCAUGAAGAGUGACAGAGGGCUUAGGGGAAGGACCCAGGGUCUUGGAUAUACUGCCCCCAUCUACACUUCAGUCUCUAUUCCCACAGAGGUGCUGAGUGGGCCACCAAGGAAAGGGAAACUUGCACUGACCUCAAAUUGCAGAGCUAUUUUGGAGAGGAGGAAGGGCAGCCCAGAGAAGUUAAGUGACUUGUCCAAGGUUGCACAGCUGGUAAAUAGUAGAGGAGGAACUUGAACUCUGGUUUUUGAGAUAUAAAUUUGAAGCUGUUUCCUUUGACCUCAACAAGAUGUCCCUUCACUAACAUCGGGGUCCUUACUGUUGGCAUAGGGACCCUCAAUCCUUUCUGAACUUUAGAGGAAAAGUAAUAUCUGAAAGUUUCAGAGCCUAUUAUCCAUCAGAGAGGUCCGCAGUUUAUGUCCAACCUAAAGCAGCCCUAGACUCUCUUCAGGACCAUAUUAGGACUUAUGGGCCGCCUCCUCCAUAAAAAGUGAUUUAACAUUCUAUUUUAUUUUAUGACUGUAUUGAUAUAAAGAUAAAUAUUACCCAGGCUGCAUUCAUUAUUACAUGCUCAUUAUUAUUACACUCAUUUUUUCCUUCUGGUUUUAAAAUAAAUGAAAAUUACAACAUUUUUUGUGGGCCCCUAAAAGAAUUGUGGGCUCUCGGUGCUGCGCCUGCUGCUUCUCCUUGGAGAAGGUGGCCUGGCACUCGGUCAAAGCACUCGUGCUCUGCAGGGCACUUCUUGCCCUCUCAUAUCUUCUUAUUUUCUUAUUGAUUUGUGCUUAUUGUUUGACUUCACCGUAAGUAUAAGUACCAAGAGAGUGGGAACCCUUCCUGGUUUGUUGACUGUGGCAUCCUCAAGUUCUACUAUGCCAAGCACAUAGUAGGUGUUCAAUAAAUAUUUGCUGCAUGAAUAAAUGAAGAGACUAUCUUCUCAGGCAGGUGUAUUUGUACCCCAGGUAGCGGCACCCCAUUGGCCCCGGUGGCUAAUUCAGGGAUCUGUUACCCCUCUUGAUACCUUAUCCCUCUCCCCUCACCUGCCUGGUCCCCAUGUCCCAUAGAUGCUACUUUCUCAUCAUGUCUGGAAUGUGUCCCCUCACCUCCGACUUUCACUCACCCUUGCCUUAUGUCUGGUCUUAUCAUAUAUCCACGUUCCUGGACUGGUUUCGUCUGCAGUCUUGCCUCCUCCAGCUUGGCCUACAAACUGCCACCAGCGUGAUCUUUCAAAAUGCCAAUCUGAGCAUGUCACCUAAAACCCUUGGAUGGCUUCUCCUUGCCCUCCAGAUAAAGUCCAAGUUUGUGCAGGCUGGCACACAGGUCCUUCACCACCUGCUGCAGCCACACCUCCCGCUCCUCCCCUCAGGCACCCAGAGUGCCAGCCAUCGCCAAGGGCUCGUGGUUCCCGGAAACCUAACCCCCACUAUUUACACACUUGCUUGGAAGCCUUCCCUGCCCCGGGCCCAGGCUCCUCCUUUCUGCGGCCUCCCAUGAAGCCCUGGCUCCCAUGAAGCCUUAAUUGCUCACUGCCAACCUCAUCUCUAGGCCUGAACGGCCAAUAGUGCUCUUGUUGUCCACUCUGUCCCACUGAGGACAGAGGUCAGGCUUUAUCUAGCACAGGCCUGACACAUAGUAGGAGCUCAGGAAGAACUGGGUGAUUAUACUGAGUGCUGGGCCCGUCUCUGUCCUGGACAGAUUGUGUGUCCUGGGCACAGAUGUGGCACUGAAUCAAGGGCCCCACAAUCACACACCAUGUGGACAAGUGUGGCUGGCUUAGAGCAAUUUGUGCCAUAUUGGUGUGCAGAAGCCAAUGUGAGAGGCACAGGUGACCCUGCAGGCAGCCCCAACAGAGUAUCAUGACUCCCCUACAGCCACCUAGGGUUUCUCAGUCAUUGGAUCUGGCAGGCCCAGACCACCCCUAGCCUCCUUGACUACAAGAGGGCCAGCAAAUACCCUGGGGCUGGACCAGUGGUGGAAUCUACCAGACACAACAACUUGGUUAGACCAGGCCUAAUAUGACUUUUGCCAGUAUUGUCUUUAUCCUUCUUUAUUUCCAGCAGCCUAUCUUUUUAAAGAACCCUGACUUUCUGAGAAUGAUGGUAGAGAUCAAAGUCUAGAU